AACGAACGCUGGCGGCAUGCCUAACACAUGCAAGUCGAACGAGACCUUCGGGUCUAGUGGCGCACGGGUGCGUAACGCGUGGGAACCUGCCCUUAGGUUCGGAAUAACUCCCCGAAAGGGGUGCUAAUACCGGAUAAUGUCUUCGGACCAAAGAUUUAUCGCCUUUGGAUGGGCCCGCGUUGGAUUAGCUAGUUGGUAGGGUAAAAGCCUACCAAGGCGACGAUCCAUAGCUGGUCUGAGAGGAUGAUCAGCCACACUGGGACUGAGACACGGCCCAGACCCCUACGGGGGGAAGGAGGGGGGAAAAUUGGAAAAGGGGCGAAAGCCUGAUCCAGCAAGGCCGGGGGGGUGAUGAAGGCCUUAGGGUUGUAAAGCUCUUUUACCCGGGAUGAAAAUGACAGUACCGGGAGAAUAAGCCCCGGAGAACCCCGG
RNAcentral lists this ribosomal RNA (432 nucleotides) under uncultured bacterium. Its description in RNAcentral is "partial 16S ribosomal RNA". It matches the Rfam family "Bacterial small subunit ribosomal RNA", at positions 29 to 506 of the family's 1533-position model. The record is from RNAcentral.